CUGGUUCUUAUUAAUAUGGGUUUCUCAGUACAAUCUUAUAAUAUAAUUUCGUUGCAAAUCCAAGGCACUGAAGCAUUCUGUCCACGCGCCUACAUCGCCAUAGCUUUUGACUUCCAGCUCAUAAUUUUAGUCACAAAAUACAUCAGGGGUAAAAUGGAUUUUUCAUGUUGCAUUUAAUGGUGUUAGUUGUCAAAACUGACGGAAAUGUCAUAAAGGGAACAAAAUGAAGUUUGAGUGUCAAAACAGGAAGAAUUUUUUUACCAGGGCCAAAAAAGGAACCAAAUUUUAAGGAAGGGCCAAAUAAGGUAUUCUCUCUUGAACAUUUGGUGAAAUUAAUUGAUGAUCAUAUACAUGGGAAACAUUUUGGCAGAACUACAGUUAGUGAUGAUUUUCCCUACGCAUGGCCUAUAGCAGAACUGUAAUCUAGCAUUAUCUAAAAUAAGAGACCAGCCUUGGACUAUUAUCUUCCCAUGGUACCACCAUGCUAAUGCUGAAAACAACGUCUAGUACAAUGAAUCUUGCUUUGAAUAUAACAGAACUACUACCCUGCAACUUUAUUCUAUACUGAAAAAUAAUUGUUGCAAUAGUUAAGCUUAUUCCAAAUCUUGUAAGGUACAAUGCACAUACAAAAGAAAGGGUAUACAAUUUGCAGGUCACUAAUCAUAUACUUGAUUCUUAACUUUGUGUUGGGUUUCUUCUAACAUUUCAUAAUACAGAUAGGCAAAUACAUGAUUUAUUUCUGCUACAUUUUCCAGAACAGCAGGAUUAUGGAUAGUUCCGAGAAGGCGCCUCCCGAUCAAGGCUAUUAAUACUCUUGUUGUACUUGUCAAGUCCGACAUCCUAGUGCUAUGUCUCGGCUGUAUGGGUGUCAAGGAAAUUUUCAACCUGGCCUGAUGGAUGCAAGUGUUUCCUACUCUCGUAUCUCUAUGGUGAUCAAGACUCAGCGAUCCAUGACACACAGAACUUUGGCUCACUGCUCUCACAAAAAGGGGUAAACAUGCAUGGCGUGCCAUAACUGGGUCUGGUUUGCAAGGAAGCAUUCUGUUGUCUGGCCAUUAUUAUUGUGGUCACCUAUACAAAUCGAACUGAUCUGACAUGCUCAUCCUCCAUUCAUGGGUGAUUGUUGUCAUUAGCUCCACUCUUAUCACCUUACCAAAUCUGAAGCCUCGCUUCUCUCCUGGAUGUGCAUGUUGGUGGAUGGAUGUAUGCAUUCAGCAAAGCACAGAGGCAGAAGUCCACCAGUCCAAUCUUCAUCCUUGACUCUCAAAAAUCUGCAUAGGCACAACUCCAUUAUGCAUUACAAUAUGACACCAUGCUUUAGCCUCAUCAAUCUUUGUAAAGUUUGUGGAUGGACAUUUAGUUUGUUUUGAUAACUAAAGGGGAAAACCUUUGGCCAGAGCUGGACAUGAGAGCAAAGCGAGGGAUAAAGGAUUGCAUGGCAGUGCACUAUGUCUUAAAGUCCCUGGCAACAUCUGUUGUGCUAAUGAAAACUGGUGUCCUCAACCAAAUUGAGGGCCACAAAUUUUAUUCAGUACUCCAGCUAGGUAUUGCUAAUCAUGGUCCCCGGUCCCGUAGUGGAUGGAGCACCAAUUUUUUGGGAGUUGGAUCAAUCACAUCAGAUUCAAUCGGCAAUCGCUAAAUAGUAGUAAAGCUUGAAGUGAACUUACCUGAAGUUUUGGCAAGAAUUAAUCUG
This 1693-nucleotide long non-coding RNA is filed under the name Triticum aestivum (bread wheat). RNAcentral describes it as "long non-coding RNA (TAES_LNC021065)". The record is from RNAcentral. Lineage: Eukaryota; Viridiplantae; Streptophyta; Magnoliopsida; Poales; Poaceae.